UCUCCUAAUUUUGCCGACGACAUGUGCCA
Molecule: small RNA, 29 nt
Filed under: Bombyx mori (domestic silkworm)
Lineage: Eukaryota; Metazoa; Arthropoda; Insecta; Lepidoptera; Bombycidae
Description: ovarian small RNA-29664
Source: RNAcentral